GAUGAACGCUGGCGGCGUGCCUAAUACAUGCAAGUCGAGCGAACAGAUGAGGAGCUUGCUCCUCUGACGUUAGCGGCGGACGGGUGAGUAACACGUGGAUAACCUACUUAUAAGACUGGGAUAACUUCGGGAAACCGGAGCUAAUACCGGAUAAUAUAUUGAACCGCAUGGUUCAUUAGUGAAAGACGGUUUUGCUGUAACUUAUAGAUGGAUCUGCGCCGCAUUAGCUAGUUGUUAAGUUAACGGCUUACCAAGGCAACGAUGCGUAGCCGACCUGAGAGGGUGGUCGGCCACACUGGAGCUGAGACACGGUCCAGAGUCCUACGGGAGGCAGCAGUAGGGAAUCGUCCGCAAUGGGCGAAAGCUUGACGGAGCAACGCCGCGUGAGUGAUGAAGGUCUUCGGAUCGUAAAACUCUGUUAUUAGGGAAGAACAAAUGUGUAAGUAACUAUGCACGUCUUGACGGUACCUAAUCAGAAAGCCACGGCUAACUACGUG
Molecule: ribosomal RNA, 497 nt
Filed under: uncultured bacterium
Lineage: Bacteria
Description: partial 16S ribosomal RNA
Rfam family: Bacterial small subunit ribosomal RNA
Source: RNAcentral